This 71-nucleotide microRNA precursor is filed under the name Mus caroli (Ryukyu mouse). Its description in RNAcentral is "microRNA 5623 (MGP_CAROLIEiJ_G0007653.1)". Lineage: Eukaryota; Metazoa; Chordata; Mammalia; Rodentia; Muridae. The record is from RNAcentral.
UGGCAGCUGGCAUGUCAGAAUGCAGGUGUGAAUGGACAUUGGGGGUCUGGUUCUGGCUUUCAGCUGUCACC